CACUUUGUUCUUGGUCUUAUAAGAUCUUUCUUUUGGCUCUCAAUUCUUGUGAGUAAAUGCCUUUCUUCUUUAAAAAGAUCAUUGGAUACGAUCCAUCUGUUACAUCGCAAUCCGUCCCUAACACUCCCGCUGCAGGAGAUAACAUGUUUAAUUAUACCUGUCCAUGGUGUUGAUAUUCUUUUGCUUUGGGACCAAUAAAGCAAUAACUUCAAACCGUUUUGUUGUUGAGAUAUCUUCAGACUCCAUACUUUAAAUCGUACACUUCCCCAUUCACUCCUCUGUAUUUUAUUCUUAAUCAUCAACACCACUGAAUC
This 314-nucleotide long non-coding RNA is filed under the name Brassica napus (rape). Its description in RNAcentral is "long non-coding RNA (BNAP_LNC022591)". Lineage: Eukaryota; Viridiplantae; Streptophyta; Magnoliopsida; Brassicales; Brassicaceae. The record is from RNAcentral.